RNAcentral lists this ribosomal RNA (264 nucleotides) under uncultured bacterium. Its description in RNAcentral is "partial 16S ribosomal RNA". It matches the Rfam family "Bacterial small subunit ribosomal RNA", at positions 793 to 1055 of the family's 1533-position model. The record is from RNAcentral.
GUCCACGCCCUAAACGAUGUCAACUGGUUGUCGGGGAAGCAAUUCCUUGGUAACGAAGCUAACGCGUGAAGUUGACCGCCUGGGGAGUACUGCCGCAAGGUUAAAACUCAAAGGAAUUGACGGGGACCCGCACAAGCGGUGGAUUAUGUGGAUCAAUUCGAUGCAACGCGAAAAACCUUACCUACCCUUGACAUGUACGGAACCCCGCAGAAAUGCGGGGGUGCCCGAAAGGGAGCCGUAACACAGGUGCUGCAUGGCUGUCGU